CACUGAGCAUGUGCAGUGAGCUGCUUGGUCACUAUGGCAACACAAAGCUAAACUCUAGCAGUAUGGAGUCUCUGGAGAGGAGAGGCACAGAGCAGGAAAAUAAUCUUCAUGAUGAAAUGGAGGAUGUUGUAAAGCUGGAUUUCCUUUCUCAGUCA
Rana temporaria (common frog) is the source of this 155-nucleotide long non-coding RNA. RefSeq lists it as uncharacterized. The record is from RefSeq and is a predicted model, not a curated record. The transcript has 2 exons. Lineage: Eukaryota; Metazoa; Chordata; Amphibia; Anura; Ranidae.